RNAcentral lists this ribosomal RNA (1371 nucleotides) under uncultured bacterium. RNAcentral's name for it is "16S ribosomal RNA". It matches the Rfam family "Bacterial small subunit ribosomal RNA", at positions 29 to 1381 of the family's 1533-position model. The record is from RNAcentral.
AUGAACGCUGGCGGCGUGCCUAAUACAUGCAAGUCGAGCGAACGGACGAGAAGCUUGCUUCUCUGAUGUUAGCGGCGGACGGGCGAGUAACACGUGGAUAACCUACCUAUAAGACUGGGAUAACUUCGGGAAACCGGAGCUAAUACCGGAUAAUAUUUUGAACCGCAUGGUUCAAAAGUGAAAGACGGUCUUGCUGUCACUUAUAGAUGGAUCCGCGCUGCAUUAGCUAGUUGGUAAGGUAACGGCUUACCAAGGCAACGAUGCAUAGCCGACCUGAGAGGGUGAUCGGCCACACUGGAACUGAGACACGGUCCAGACUCCUACGGGAGGCAGCAGUAGGGAAUCUUCCGCAAUGGGCGAAAGCCUGACGGAGCAACGCCGCGUGAGUGAUGAAGGUCUUCGGAUCGUAAAACUCUGUUAUUAGGGAAGAACAUAUGUGUAAGUAACUGUGCACAUCUUGACGGUACCUAAUCAGAAAGCCACGGCUAACUACGUGCCAGCAGCCGCGGUAAUACGUAGGUGGCAAGCGUUAUCCGGAAUUAUUGGGCGUAAAGCGCGCGUAGGCGGUUUUUUAAGUCUGAUGUGAAAGCCCACGGCUCAACCGUGGAGGGUCAUUGGAAACUGGAAAACUUGAGUGCAGAAGAGGAAAGUGGAAUUCCAUGUGUAGCGGUGAAAUGCGCAGAGAUAUGGAGGAACACCAGUGGCGAAGGCGACUUUCUGGUCUGUAACUGACGCUGAUGUGCGAAAGCGUGGGGAUCAAACAGGAUUAGAUACCCUGGUAGUCCACGCCGUAAACGAUGAGUGCUAAGUGUUAGGGGGUUUCCGCCCCUUAGUGCUGCAGCUAACGCAUUAAGCACUCCGCCUGGGGAGUACGACCGCAAGGUUGAAACUCAAAGGAAUUGACGGGGACCCGCACAAGCGGUGGAGCAUGUGGUUUAAUUCGAAGCAACGCGAAGAACCUUACCAAAUCUUGACAUCCUUUGACAACUCUAGAGAUAGAGCCUUCCCCUUCGGGGGACAAAGUGACAGGUGGUGCAUGGUUGUCGUCAGCUCGUGUCGUGAGAUGUUGGGUUAAGUCCCGCAACGAGCGCAACCCUUAAGCUUAGUUGCCAUCAUUAAGUUGGGCACUCUAAGUUGACUGCCGGUGACAAACCGGAGGAAGGUGGGGAUGACGUCAAAUCAUCAUGCCCCUUAUGAUUUGGGCUACACACGUGCUACAAUGGACAAUACAAAGGGCAGCGAAACCGCGAGGUCAAGCAAAUCCCAUAAAGUUGUUCUCAGUUCGGAUUGUAGUCUGCAACUCGACUACAUGAAGCUGGAAUCGCUAGUAAUCGUAGAUCAGCAUGCUACGGUGAAUACGUUCCCGGGUCU